RNAcentral lists this ribosomal RNA (1243 nucleotides) under metagenome. RNAcentral describes it as "bacterial LSU rRNA". It matches the Rfam family "Bacterial large subunit ribosomal RNA", at positions 1564 to 2816 of the family's 2925-position model. The record is from RNAcentral.
UGAGUACGAGAUGCUACGGCAUCGAAGCAGUCUAUGUCAUACUUCCAAGAAAAGCUUGCACUGUCAUAAACAAAGAAUGCCUGUACCAUAACCGACACAGGUGGGUAGGUAGAGUAUACUAAGGGGCGCGAGAUAACUCUCUCUAAGGAACUCGGCAAAAUGACUCCGUAACUUCGGGAGAAGGAGUGCCUUAUUUCUAAGGUUGCAAUAACAAGAUCCAAGCAACUGUUUACCAAAAACACAGGUCUCCGCUAAGUCGUAAGACGAUGUAUGGGGGCUGACGCCUGCCCAGUGCCAGGAGGUUAAAGAAGUUGGUUAGCAUUAGCGAAGCUGAUAACUGAAGCCCUGGUGAACGGCGGCCGUAACUGUAACGGUCCUAAGGUAGCGAAAUUCCUUGUCGGGUAAGUUCCGACCCGCACGAAAGGCGUAAUGAUUUGGAUACUGUCUCGGAGAGGGGCUCGGUGAAAUAGACUUGUCUGUGAAGAUGCGGACUACCUGCACCUGGACAGAAAGACCCUAUGAAGCUUUACUGUAACUUGAGAUUGAAAUUGGACUUUAUUUGCGCAGUAUAGGUGGGAGGCGUUGAGAAUAAUCUUGCGGGAUUGUUGGAGCCAUCUGUGAGAUACCACUCUUGUAAUGUUAGAUUUCUAACUUUGUAUCAUUAUCUGGUCAAAGAACAGUUUCAGGCGGGCAGUUUGACUGGGGCGGUCGCCUCCCAAAGGGUAACGGAGGCGCACAAAGGUUUCCUCUGAACGGGUAGAAAUCGUAUCUAGAGUGUAAAGGCAUAAGGAAGCUUGACUGUGAGACCUACAAGUCGAGCAGGGACGAAAGUCGGUCUUAGUGAUCUGACGGUGCUGAGUGGAAAGGCCGUCACUCAACGGAUAAAAGUUACUCUAAGGAUAACAGGCUGAUCUCCCCCAAGAGUUCACAUCGACGGGGAGGUUUGGCACCUCGAUGUCGGCUCAUCGCAUCCUGGGGCGGUAGUCCGUCCCAAGGGUUGGGCUGUUCGCCCAUGAAAGCGGUACGCGAGCUGGGUUCAGAACGUCGUGAGACAGUUCGGUCCAUAUCCGGUGUAGGCGUUAGAAUAUUGAGAGGAGCCUUCUCUAGUACGAGAGGACCGAGAAGGACAUACCUCUGGUGUACCAGUUAUCGUGCCAACGGUAAACGCUGGGUAGCUAUGUAUGGAGUGGAUAACCGCUGAAAGCAUCUAAGUGGGAAGCCCACCUCAAGAUAAGUAUUCUCA